AUAUAUAUCUUAGCAGCCAAGCUGUCUUAUGGCAUGCCCUGGCAUCUAGCCCAGCUACCAAGUUUCUCGACAUUUCACCAUUUAAAACCUUGGACUUUGGCUAUUAGCAGUGGCAGUCCUAUUCUGUCUCCUUCACCUGCAUCCUCAAAUGCAUUUACUACUUCGAAGCCGCGAAAAGAGAGCUUUUCCACGCUGUUCGGAUCAAAUUCUUCUUCGCCCCUUGGGUUGUCUGCGUGUUCUUAGUCCUCGGUGUACCACCUGCACUGGCCCCGGAUUUUCGGUGGCUUGGCAGUCUUGCACCUUUCCGGUGACAACUUUCUCAGUAGUCGCCAUCAAGUAUGCAGAACAAGUACCAUCAGUUCCAAGCAAGGGCCUUGCAGCCACUCUCUCUCUUGUCAACUGCAAUGGUGUCUGUAUUGUUCAUCUCCACUCUUCUUCACAUCUUUGUUUGACAAACGCUGUUUCCAAACGAUCUCGCCAUUGCCAUAACAAAUAGAAGACUUGGCAAGGAGAAGAAACCCUUCAACGAUCCUACGUUAUAAAGCGUUGGACAAAGCAGGCCCUAACAAAGAACAAUCUGGAAACCAAGGAUGCAGAUGGAGGUAAAGAAGAGACAUACUCCAAAUUGUGUAUAUUUCUUGGCUAAUCACAAUUACAUGUGUUGGUGGUGCCGCCAAAAAUGUUGUAAGAGGUGGCCUUAACAGCCAUACAACACCUGCCUUUCUACGUUUUAUUGGAUUUCAACUGAAACCUACAAAUCGGGGAAAUGAAAAGAAAAAAGAGCUGGUUUUACAUA
Molecule: long non-coding RNA, 796 nt
Organism: Pyrus x bretschneideri (Chinese white pear)
Lineage: Eukaryota; Viridiplantae; Streptophyta; Magnoliopsida; Rosales; Rosaceae
Exons: 2
Source: RefSeq, a predicted model, not a curated record